CCUGCCUCAAGCUGGGAGGACAGACGGUUGACUGACACUGCCUGCUUGGUUGGCCAUUACCGAUUCCUGAGAAGAGGAGGAACGCCAAGCUUGGAUGAGACUGGAAAAUUACGAAGCUGCUAUCUGGACAAGGAUGCCCUCAUCAGAUCCUUUCCAAUUUGCGGAAUAUUGGAUCAAAAAUCAGACUGCAUAUUAUUUUGCAAUAUUAUAAAACAUAGAAACGACGAAAAUACGAAUUCUGGAAACAAAAAUCAAAUCGGUCCAAAUUAAAUUACAACGAAAAUCACACAGUACGUGGAGUUUCUUCUCGAAGCACGGCACUCUGUUUCUACAGGUAGCUACAGGAAAAUUACAAAAAAUACACCGAAAAUCAACGCGACAUAUAAGUGAAGUGACGAAACAUAGUUUGCACGGCUAAAAAAUCACAGCGUUAGUGAGAGAAAUAAUACUUGAUAUCAGUGUUAUUUUUCUUACCUACAAAGUAAAAAAAAAUCGAUUGCGGAAGAACCAAAUUAAAGAGACGAAAAUCACGGUAAGAAAGAUUAACAGCGGCAGCGAAAGAAAUAAAUAUUUGAAAAUCGGUAAUUUUCUAAACUUCUAGGCCCUAUGCCAUGAUGCAAAAAUUUGCUAAAAAAAUUUCAAAUUAUAAUCUGCAGCCACUUCCGGUACGGUACUACACUGCUAAAAAAAGUCGGAAAGCGAAUUUUGGUAAACGGUGGGGAAAAUGACGGCAGGAAAAACGUUUUAGAAAAUGACGGAAAUUAAGGAACAACUCUUGUAUCGAUGUAAAGAAAAUGACUGAAUUUCAAUUAAAGCAGCAUGUUAAAGGCAUUCCUCAAGUUCUAGGCCUACACCACAUCUUUUAAGUAUUAUUCGUCGGCGAAAAUAACUGCAAUUGGGACAUUGUCAAGAAGUUUCCCUUCAAAAAGGCCAAAAAUAGCCAGGUUAUGCAUGUGAAAGGGUACAACUUAAGUGUAAUCAACAAAGCGAUAGGGAAAAUGGCUGUAUAAGACAUGCGACAUAUUUACUAUCGCAUGCGACAUUUCUUCGUGUUUUGUAAAGGUUUAAACUUAAUCUACAUCAUUUAUGUGAGUCCGAUUUGGAAAGAUCGGCAGGGAUACAUGUUUUCAUCAAGUAUAUAUUUCUCCUUUGAGUUACUCAUUUGGUUGUCUUACUUUGACCUUUGAUAACGUACAAGGUCGACAGCGCUGUUCGCAUGUAAAAGGGUACAACCUAAGUGUAAUCAACAAAGCGAUAGGGAAAAUGGCUGUAUAAGACAUGCGACAUAUUUACUAUCGCAUGCGACAUUUCUUCGUGUUUUUGUAAAGGUUUAAACUUAAUCUACAUCAUUUAUGUGAGUCCGAUUUGGAAAGAUCGGCAGGGAUACAUGUUUUCAUCAAGUA
Long non-coding RNA from Patiria miniata (bat star), 1403 nucleotides. RefSeq lists it as uncharacterized. Lineage: Eukaryota; Metazoa; Echinodermata; Asteroidea; Valvatida; Asterinidae. The record is from RefSeq and is a predicted model, not a curated record. The transcript has 2 exons.